This 269-nucleotide ribosomal RNA is filed under the name uncultured bacterium. RNAcentral describes it as "partial 16S ribosomal RNA". It matches the Rfam family "Bacterial small subunit ribosomal RNA", at positions 524 to 794 of the family's 1533-position model. The record is from RNAcentral.
GACGAACCGUGCGAACGUUGUUCGGAAUCACUGGGCUUAAAGGGCGCGUAGGCGGUCAGCGGUCAGAAGUCAGCGGUCAGGUUCAAUCUGGUAGAAGUGCCUUGGAUACUGGCCAGCUCGAGGGAGGUAGGGUGCGUGGAACUUCUGGUGGAGCGGUGAAAUGCGUUGAUAUCAGAAGGAACGCCGGUGGCGAAAGCGACGCACUGGAUCUCUACUGACGCUGAGGCGCGAAAGCUAGGGGAGCGAACGGGAUUAGAAACCCGUGUAGU